AUUGAACGCUGGCGGCAUGCCUUACACAUGCAAGUCGAACGGUAACGGGCCUUCGGGUGCCGACGAGUGGCGAACGGGUGAGUAAUGUAUCGGAACGUACCUUUCAGUGGGGGAUAACGUAGCGAAAGUUACGCUAAUACCGCAUAUUCUGUGAGCAGGAAAGCAGGGGAUCGCAAGACCUUGCGCUGAUUGAGCGGCCGAUAUCAGAUUAGCUAGUUGGUGAGGUAAAGGCUCACCAAGGCGACGAUCUGUAGCGGGUCUGAGAGGAUGAUCCGCCACACUGGAACUGAGACACGGUCCAGACUCCUACGGGAGGCAGCAGUGGGGAAUUUUGGACAAUGGGCGCAAGCCUGAUCCAGCCAUUCCGCGUGCAGGAUGAAGGCCUUCGGUUGGUUAAACUAGCUUUUGUUACGGUAACGGAAACGGUACGUCGCCUAACUAACGGCGGGCGUAACUGACGGUACCGGUAACGAAUAAGACACCGGCUAACUACGUAGCCAGCAGCCGCGGUAAACG
Molecule: ribosomal RNA, 516 nt
Filed under: uncultured bacterium
Lineage: Bacteria
Description: bacterial SSU rRNA
Rfam family: Bacterial small subunit ribosomal RNA
Source: RNAcentral